ACGAACGCUGGCGGCAGGCCUAACACAUGCAAGUCGAGCGCCCAGCAAUGGGAGCGGCGGACGGGUGAAUAACACGUGGGAAUAUGCCUUUCGGUACGGAAUAACGCAGGGAAACUUGCGCUAAUACCGUAUACGCCCUCAGGGGGAAAGAUUUAUCGCCGAAAGAUUAGCCCGCGUAGGAUUAGCUAGUUGGUGAGGUAACGGCCCACCAAGGCUACGAUCCUUAGCUGGUUUGAGAGAACGAUCAGCCACACUGGGACUGAGACACGGCCCAGACUCCUACGGGAGGCAGCAGUGGGGAAUCUUGGACAAUGGAGGAAACUCUGAUCCAGCCAUGCCGCGUGAGUGAUGAAGGCCUUCGGGUUGUAAAACUCUUUCGCGCGCGACGAUAAUGACGGUAGCGCGAGAAGAAGCUCCGGCUAACUUCGU
This 429-nucleotide ribosomal RNA is filed under the name uncultured bacterium. RNAcentral describes it as "bacterial SSU rRNA". It matches the Rfam family "Bacterial small subunit ribosomal RNA", at positions 29 to 506 of the family's 1533-position model. The record is from RNAcentral.